RNAcentral lists this ribosomal RNA (496 nucleotides) under uncultured bacterium. Its description in RNAcentral is "bacterial SSU rRNA". It matches the Rfam family "Bacterial small subunit ribosomal RNA", at positions 28 to 517 of the family's 1533-position model. The record is from RNAcentral.
GAUGAACGCUAGCGGCAGGCUUAAUACAUGCAAGUCGAGGGGCAGCAUGACUGUAGCAAUACAGUUGAUGGCGACCGGCAAACGGGUGCGGAACACGUACAGAACCUUCCUUCGAGCGGGGAAUAGCCCAGAGAAAUUUGGAUUAAUACCCCAUAGUACAACGGAGUGGCAUCACUUUGUUGUUAAAGAUUUAUCACUUGAAGAUGGCUGUGCGGCUGAUUAGGUAGUUGGCGGGGUAACGGCCCACCAAGCCUGCGAUCAGUAACUGGUGUGAGAGCACGACCAGUCACACGGGCACUGAGACACGGGCCCGACUCCUACGGGAGGCAGCAGUAAGGAAUAUUGGUCAAUGGACGAAAGUCUGAACCAGCCAUGCCGCGUGGAGGAUGAAGGUCCUCUGGAUUGUAAACUUCUUUUAUAUGGGACAAAAAGGGUUUUCUAACUCGUCUGACGGUACCAUAUGAAUAAGCACCGGCUAACUCCGUGCCAGCAGCCG